RNAcentral lists this ribosomal RNA (454 nucleotides) under Legionella waltersii. RNAcentral describes it as "bacterial SSU rRNA". It matches the Rfam family "Bacterial small subunit ribosomal RNA", at positions 425 to 870 of the family's 1533-position model. Lineage: Bacteria; Pseudomonadati; Pseudomonadota; Gammaproteobacteria; Legionellales; Legionellaceae. The record is from RNAcentral.
GUAAAGCACUUUCAGUGGGGAGGAGGGUUGAUAGGUUAAGAGCUAAUUAAUUGGACGUUACCCACAGAAGAAGCACCGGCUAACUCCGUGCCAGCAGCCGCGGUAAUACGGAGGGUGCGAGCGUUAAUCGGAAUUACUGGGCGUAAAGGGUGCGUAGGUGGUUUGGUAAGUUAUCUGUGAAAUUCCUGGGCUUAACCUGGGACGGUCAGAUGAUACUGCUGAACUCGAGUAUGGGAGAGGGUAGUGGAAUUUCCGGUGUAGCGGUGAAAUGCGUAGAGAUCGGAAGGAACACCAGUGGCGAAGGCGGCUACCUGGCCCAAUACUGACACUGAGGCACGAAAGCGUGGGGAGCAAACAGGAUUAGAUACCCUGGUAGUCCACGCCGUAAACGAUGUCAACUAGCUGUUGGUUAUAUGAAUAUAAUUAGUGGCGCAGCAAACGCGAUAAGUUGACC